This is a non-coding RNA of Rattus norvegicus (Norway rat), 31855 nucleotides long. The record is from RefSeq and is a predicted model, not a curated record. Lineage: Eukaryota; Metazoa; Chordata; Mammalia; Rodentia; Muridae.
UUUCUGUGGGAAGCACGAGGGUCUGAAUUUUAUCCUCAGAAUGAAAGGUGGAAGGGAGUAGCUGGGUGGCGAUGGCACAGGCCUUAACUCCCAGCUCUUAGAAGGCAGAUAUCUGAGUUCAAGGCCAGCCUGGUCUACAGAGCGGGUUCCAGGACAGCCAGGGCAACAGAGAAACCUUGUCUCAAAAAAAAAAAGGGGUUGGGGAUUUAGCUCAGUGGUAGAGCGCUUGCCUAGGAAGCACAAGGCCCUGGGUUCGGUCCCCAGCUCCGGAAAAAAAAAAAAAAAGAAAGAAAGAAAGAAAAGAAAAGAAAGAUGGAAGGGAGAACUGACUCCUCCCAUACUGAAUUCUAUACAUUAUUUACAAUACAUAUCAUGUAUCUAUGUAAAUAUAUAAAAUAUAGAUUAGCAUAUAUAUUUUCUGGGUGUUUUUGUGUGUGAAGUGUGUGUGUAUAUAUCUGUGUGUGCUCACACAUGUGUGUAUGUAUGUGGAGACCAGAAGUUGGCAAAGACAGUUUCCUCAGUUUCUCUGUCAUCUCGUUUUCUGAAACAGUUCAGACAGCUUCCUGAACCUGGAGCAGACAGAUCUGGCUAGAUGUCCCAGCCAGCACUCUCCAGGGAUCACCCCAUUUGUUCCUCUCAGCAUCGGGUUUACAAAUGUGUUCUGGCUUUUUACAUGAGUGCUGGGACCUGAACUGAGGUUCUUAUGCUUGAGCAGUGGCUGAGCCAUCUCUCCAGCUACUUUUCUGAUAUAAUAAUAAUGAUAAUAAUAAUAAUCCAAAUGAGAUUUAUUUUAUUAUUUUAUUUAUGUCUAUAUAUGUGGGGAUUGUGGGCUGAUGUCUACAUAUGCAGGUGAGGGCUGGCACAAGUUGGGUCAAGGCCAUGAUUGGGCAGUAAAAAAGUAAGGCAGGGACAAAGUUUUUGUAAGGUGGGAGAGAAGGGAAAGGGAAAGAGUCAAGAUGGAGAUGGAGAAGGACGACACAGAUGCGGGUGGUCUUUUUUUAAAAAUUUAUUUUAUUUAUAUGAGUGCACUGUAGCUGUCGUCAGACACACCAGAAGAGGGCAUCAGAUCCCAUUACAGAUGGUUGUGAGUCACCAUGUGGUUGCUGGGAAUUGAACUCAGGACCUCUGGAAGAGCAGUUAGUGCUCUUAAGCCCCCCGGGUGGUCCUAAAUGGCCCUAGGUAGUUAUAAAUAUUUCUUAAGGGAUGGAUUUCUAUAGGACAAUUCAUCUCAUCCAGGUGGGCGGUUUAUAUCUUUAUCAAUGGGUUGCGAGUUUAUUGUGUGGGUGUAUUGUAAACUAGAAUUUAACACACAAGUCUGACUGUUAAGUUGCAGUUUAUUGAGUCUUGAUUUUACCAGGUAGCUGGAACCAGAGAAUUUGCUGCAAGUAGAGAGCCGCCGGGAGAGAUGCUAACCAGAGCCCUCCAGUGCUGGAACUAACUCUAGGGAGCAGCGUGGCAAGGUGCUAGGCUGGAAGGGCUGCAGACCUCGUGGGUCAGAAAGUACUUGGGGCCAGCAUGGAGCAGUGCUGGGCUGAGAUAAAGACACCCCGCAGAGCCAUGUGGCCCUACAGGGCUGGCACUAUCAUGGAAUAAAAGUUGUUUUUUUAAAUAUUUACCGUAACAGGGGUGGGCAGGGGAUGUGUAUGAACAUUCUGUCCCUGAGGCCAGGAGAGGGUGUUGGAGUCCCUGGACCUGGAGCUGGUUGUGAGCCCCCCUGCCUGGGUGCUGGGAACCGAACUCUAGUCCUCUGAAAGAACAGCAAGUGCCUGCAGCUGCUGACCCAUCUCUCUUCUUCUCUGAUGUUUGGGAGAGAGCGUCUCCCUAUGAAGUUGUAGAUUGCUUGGAACUCAUGAUAUAGACCAAGCCAAUGGUAAACUUUUGGAGAAUCGUCCACUUCCCUUUGACAAGUGCUGGAAUUGAAGGCAUGUGUCACCAUACCCAGCCUGCAUAGCAUAGCAACCAAGUAUAUCUUGGGGCUUUAUUCACUUGGGAGUGCCCACUGCCCAGAGACUCUAUAUCUGGGAAAGUUAUUUUUGUGGGUGGUGGUGUUGGGUGCCUUGUACAAGUUAGCAGAGUAUUCUAAUGCUAAGAUGUGUCUAUAUCUGAAGUGUCAAUCUGCCUGGUAGAGCCUUUGAGAACAGCAAAAAUUCAGCACUAAAAUUUCAGGCUGCAGAUCCAUGUCUAGUCCACUGUUUGUCCUGGUUUUACCACCAUGGCGCUUGUGUUCCAAGCUUCUGUGAAGUGGUUUUCCUCAAGUCCCUCAGUUGCUUCAUGGCUUUGGGAUUAUGCAUGCUUGACGGUCUAAGCUGAUUCAUGAGUGUCCCAAAGGAAAUAUAAGGAUGUGAGUCUCUUGACUGUAUAAUUUUCUGGGUUAUUGACCCAAGUAGUGAACUAUUUCCAUAGUUACAGAAAGAGGAAGGACCUGCUUGCCUUUUUUCUUUUUCUUUUUCCUUUUCCUUUUCUUUUUCUUUUCCUUUUCCUUUUCCUUUCUUUCUUUCUUUCUUUCUUUCUCUCUUUCUCUCUUUCUUUCUUUUUUUUUUUUUGAGAAAGGGUUUCAGUGUAGCCCUGGCUGUCCUGGAACUUGCUCUGUACACUAGGCUGGCCUUGAACUCAGAGAUCCUCUGCCUCCCAAGUACUGGGAUCAAAGGUGUUCACCACCACAGCCUGGCAGUUUGCUUGUUUUUUUUAUGAAGAAGAAAGCUAUUUUCUUUGUAUUCAAAGCUGCCUGUUUUAUUUGGGGUUUGUGGGGGAAGUCAUAGGUGGUUAUAUAAAAAACAGUGGAAUAUUACUGCUUACCAUGAUAUUUUUAGGCUUGACAUUUUUAUUUUUACAUAUAUAAUUUACCUUCAAUACAUAAGAAAAUAAUUUAAGCACCAUGGUAAGAAAAAACCCUCCAGUUCAGAGACUGCCAGUAACCCGGCAAAUGAAUUUGAGUUCUGGGGUCUUGGAAGCCUGGAGUGUGGCAAUUUUUGUGUCUUCCCUAGACAUCUUUUUGAGGUUUGCUUCUGUGGUAUUGGUUGUUAGCCUGAUCCCUUCUAGGACCGACUAUCGCCCUAGCACAUGGCGCUGCUACUGUGUGUUCGCCCGUCUGCUUAAAACUUGCUGUACUAUCUACAUUUAUCAUGGGGUGCAUGUGUGGGUACUGGGGUGUGUGCCAUGGUGUGAGUGUGGGAUAAGUUGAAAGAGUUGAUUCUUUCUACCACAUGUAUGUGUGGAUUUGAACUUACACUGGGACACUUGGAAGCAAUCGCCUUCACUGGCUAAGCCAUCUCACAGGCCCCUGGUCGCAUUUGAUGGAUAGUAGGGUUCAUUCCAUUUAGGGAUGUUAUGCUUAAAGCUGCUGUGAAUUUCUUAAUUUCUUCCUCCUCCUCCUCCUCCUCCUCCUCCUCCUCCUCCUCCUCCUCCUCCUCCUCCUCCUCCUCCACCUCCUCCUCCUCCUCCUCUUCUUUUCCCCCUCUUCUUCUUCUUCCUUCUCUUCUUCCUCCUCCUCUGCCGGGAACCAAGCACGCUUAGUCUCAGAGAUUCUUCUCAGGAAUGCUCUGCUCAUUAUAUGGCCCCUAUCUUCUCAGGAAAAUCAAUCCAGUUAUAGCCUCCAGCCUUGGGACACCUAGCCGGUUGUCUGUUCUUAUCAGUGUAUAACUGUAAUUUAUGAUCUAGGGCUAUAGAAAGGGUGGUGGCAGUGAUGGAUUGUCCUGGGUAACCUUCUCACUUGCUUGUGUUUAUAAGCCGCUGUUUUUUGAAAUAAACUUUGAGAGCUUGAUCAGAACACAGACUUGCUCUCCUUUGCACCUCCUGUCCCCCAUUCUUUUACCCCCUCUCAGAUCUACUCUGAACCCCUGCAGGCCGAGACACCUCCCUUCCUCCCUCCCUCCCUCCCUCCCUCCCUCCCUUCCUUCCUUCCUUCCUGCCUGCCUGCCUGCCUUCCUGCCUUCCUGCCUUCCUCCCUUCCUCCCUUCCUUCUUUCCUUCCUUCCUUCCUUCCUUCCUUCCUUCCUUCCUUCCUUCCUUCCUGCCUGCCUGCCUGCCUGCCUGCCUGUCUGCCUUCCUGCCUUCCUGCCUACCUGCCUUCCUGCCUUCCUGCCUUCCUCCCUUCCUUCCUUCCUGCCUUCCUUCCUUUCUUUCAACAGGUGGCCCUGGCUAACCUUGAACUCACAAAGACCCAUCUGCCUUUGCCUCUGCUUCCUGAGUGCUGGGAUUGAAGGCCUGAGACCCGGUGAUGCUUUGCAUAUGCUUGGCCCAGGGAGUGGCACUAUUAGAAGGUGUGGCUUUGUUGGAGGAAAUGUGUCACUGUGGGGUGGGCUUGGAGACCCUCUCCUAGCUGCCUGAGGAUGCUCAGUCAGUUCCUGGCUUCCUUUGGGUGAAGAUGUAGAACUCAGCUCCUCCUGCACCAUGCCUGCCUGGACGCUGCCAUGCUCCCGCCUUGAUGAUACUGGACUGAACCUCUGAACCUGUAAGCCAGCCCCAAUUAAAUGUCCUUUAUAAAACUUACAUUGAUCAUGGUGUCUGUACACAGCAAUAAAACCCUAAGACAGACCCCUCCCUCUCAUAGCUUAUUUAUUUAUUUCCUGACUUAUUUUUGAGACAGGGUUCCAUAGGAGCCCAGGCUAGCUAUACUCCCCAUGUAUUCAAGGCUGGCCUUGAUCUCUUGAACUCCUGAUCUUCCUGCCUCUGCCUCCAAGCACCUGUAUUAUAAGUAUUUAUCACCACUUACACAAAUAUUAGUUCCAGACACUUGGAUGGCAGAAACUUUUCAGAUGCUUAGAAAGGUAGGCUGGAGGGACUGGAGUGGUUGGCCUUUUCUAAAUUAUGUGGCUGUUUUAUACAAACUCUGUUGAAAGAGUCCUGGCCGAUCUGAGAUUUAACACACACACACACACACACACACACACACACACACACACACACACACACACACAUUUUAUCUCACCAAGUUCCUAUGCAAAGUGCUGUCCUGGGCCUUCUUGUAGACAGUGUAUUUCCCAGUGUUGACUUCUCACAAUCCAAGCUCACUCCAGCCCACUGCUAAGGGCAGGUUUAAGGCGUCUUUCUGGAACUUAGCUUGUACCUUUUUUCUAAAUUAAAGUCUUUUUGAAUACUUGUAUUGUUAUGCCAUGAAGCGUUCCUGAACCCCAAAAGACCACCAACGAGCCGUUUCCGAUGUAAUCACAUUAGAGUCUCUUUAUUACAAACUCGAGUUUGUGUUUACUCACCACAGGCCCACGGGACGGUUUUUGGUGAGCCAGCCCCAAACUCCCAUGGAGACAAGGUUUUAUAGAAAAUGAAAGAAGUAAGGUGGGGUCUAUCGUGGCAAGCAUCUAACUGAAUGUCUGUUGUCAGCCAACAGGUGGGUGCUCUGAGGCAAGACCGUAAUCACAAACGGUCUGAAAGUACAUCUGAAACGAUCAGACAGAUCUUUGGUUCACUCUUGCUAGGAAGUAGCUAGGGAGUGACUCUGGCCAAGGACAAGCCGUGGGGUCCUUCCUGGUUCUUGGGUGCAGCUUGGGUGCAGUUGCGGGCCAAGUUCUCAGGCUUCUUUUUCUCUUUAGGAUGGAGGCCAGUCCCAAGAUGGAGUAGGUUUGGCCUCUCGGUGUGUGUGUAUGUGUGUAUACCUGUGUGUGUGUGUGUAUGUAUGUAUGUAUGUAUGUAUGUAUGUAUGUAUGUAUGUAUGACUCUGUGUGUAUAUGCAUGCAUGCACAUAUGCUUAUGUGUGUAUGUGUACAUGUAUGUGUAUACAUGUGUGUGUGUAUGUUUGUGGGACUGCAUUCUACCCCAGUGCUGGGCUGUAUGGAAAGGCUACACUGUGUUCCUAGAUUUCGUCUCCCUGUGUUGUCAUUGGGGACUGGGUUAUAGGGAAGUGCUGAGAUGCCAUUCAGGGGAUGGGAAGACACAGCCUCAGAUGCUGAACAGUCGAUAAAUGGUAUGUAUAAACGUGGACUGUCUCUUCCAUCAAAACUGUGUGGGGAGCACAGAGAAGGCCUUCACUUACGAGCCACAGCCUCAGUCUCCCAUAGAAGGCCUCUCGGCACUUCCAGACAACCACUGCUACGAAUGAGCUAAGCCAGAGUUCCCUGUUUCCUGGGAACCCACACAUUCAAUCCCUCCCAGGGAUCCCGCUAAAGUAAGCAUGCCCCUUUCCUAUUUGUGACUCCUUUGCCUGGACCUGGGGCUACUGGACGGGACUGGGUCUUCUCCAGUGUAACUGUCAUUCGCUUUGUCCUCCACCUGUGCUCUGCAGUCCCUGGGAGCUGCCUGCUGCUUUGCUGCAUGGAGAUAUAAGUGUGCACAUACAUGUGCGUGGACAGAGCCCCUCUGUCACCAUCAACUUAGCGUGCUGUCCUGUCCAUGAUGGGCACUUAUCUAUGCUCAGCCAGACCCACUGUUGGUCCACUUUCACCUCCGAACCCAGCGGCGAUGUUACCCACAGGUGACAGGGACCUGUGCAUCUAUUACCAUGUCAAUGGCCAUACAUUCCCAGCAUCCAUUUGGUUUAUGUCCCACCUUUACCUGCGAGUGGUUACAUCACGGUUUAAAUAAAGAGCAGACCCUUCCUGCCUUCCCCCUCCCCCCCGUCUUCUUCCUCUCUCUCUCUCUCUCGCCCUUUUGUCUCCAUAACCCCCAGUAAACCUCUCCCACGUGGAAUUGCAUUGGCCUGGUAUGGUCUGUCUGGACAAGAGCUGAGAUUCUACAACACCCACUCCCCUCAGACCACCACCCUGGCCUUACUCCCAUGGCAAGGUCAGGAAGAAACAAAAGACAGCCCAGUGUGUUCAUUCUGCAGCCUGGAUGCCGACAACCAGCAGCUCCUUAACCCACAGUCCCCUUAGGAAGCAGACCUGCCACCAGUUUUGACUUACAGUGAGGGAACCGAGUAUCGACAGUGGAACUCUCUUAUCUGGUUUUACUCAACUGCUGUGGCUCCACACACAGACUUCCCUCAGACCUGAAGCAAACUCACUUCCUUCACUGCAGGUAGUAAUUCCCACAGCUGCCAACCCAAAUGACAAUCGUAUUACCCUUUGAAAGGAAGGAGCCCCUCACCCCAGGUUGGGAGAACCAUAUUCCUAUCCCGACAUGCACAGGCGUUCAGUAAACAUCCUAAGGCUCUGACUUUUUCUGGGAGUUUCUUUUUCCUGCUGCAGAGAAUCUUCGUGGGUCAUGUAGACUCCAGAGGGCUUGUGAGGCUCAGAAGCUGGCCUUCUCCCUGACCUUAACUUGAUCUGGCACCAGGUGCCUGUGGUCGCCUGUGCUGGAUACACAAGCCAUUCUUUAAGAUGCAUUGAUAACCCGAUCGGGUGAGCAUAAGACCACUGUCACAACUUUUAGCUCAAUUUGAACCAAGUUUUUAUUAAAUACUGGCCGGGACAAUAGACACCAGCCAGGAGGAUGGACACUGGCCAGGUCCGUACCCAGGAGUCCCAGAGAAUAGCCACAAAUUUAAUUGGUCAGGUGCUUAUAAAGGCAAACCCCACAAGGCUACAUACUUCCUGCCUAAGUUACUUCAACACACAUGUGGUCAAGCACAUCCCGUGCUUGGGGGCAAGCGACUUGUUUUCAGAAGUGAAAACAUGGCCUGUUAUCUUCCUCGAGCAACAGCACCCGGCAUUCUAGGAAGUGGUCUGUCCUUGGGCAGUCAGGGCUCGCAGGUCAGGGGUGGUUUCUGUUUUUAGAUCUUUAAGCUUGGUAAUUAAGACUUAAAGCAAAACUUUAGCCCUGGCAGCGCCCUAAUGUGUAGCUCAGAAGGGACUAUGGUUGAAACGUGCAAUUUCCAGUCAUGCCCUACAACCACGCCGCCCUGUUGCAAUCCCUGAAGCUGUUGGAGCUUCAUUAUGCUAACUGUCCCUUCUUAGCUACAGCUGACAGGUUUGCUUAAGGCUUGUUAUAGCCUCAAGGUGGGGAGGGUGGGCCACCACUGCAGCAUUUGUUCCCUCUCCUACACUCUGUUCCCAGAAAAUCAGUUAAUAUCCUUAAGAAGUUUUCCAGAGUGUCAGGUUUCCCCGGAAGACUUGUCCCGAGGGAGGGAGAAUUGGAGUGGGACCCAAAGGGCAGGCAGGGCUGAGCCUAGGUCCUUGCUCUGCCUCAGAAGGGAAUUCUAGUUCCGGUCUCCACACCCCUCCAGGUGUCUGCUUCCCAGCGCUCAGUUUGGAUUCCUCUAGGCAAGAAGUAUGAUCAGCAGCUGUCCAGAGCAGAAGGGUGGGUCUGCUACAUGGGAGGUUCAGGCUGUGUGUGUCCCGGAGUCCCCCACACCCAAACGCACCGCUGCCCAUUUGACUUCCCUUCACUCUGAGCAUUCACAUGAAGCGUUGCCCAGUGGAUAUAAGGUAUAGAUGUAAACACUUCGAGAGGCACAGCUGAGAACCUGAGGCAGGAGGAUUUCUGUGAGUGUGAGGCUAUCCAGGGCUUCAGAAUGAUACCCUGUCCCUAAAUACUAAAAGCUGGAAGAGGAGCUUCCGUGGGGCAGUGAGAAGGCGACAGCCUGUCCUAGCGGUGCAGUGAGUCCCACAUGUUACCCCUGACAGUCUGCCCUCACUAGGGUGCUUUCUGGCUACUCUCUUCCCCAUGGUCCCAUGGAGGUAAGAAUUAGCAGAUGCUGGAGGGGCCUGUCUGAGAUGGAGGGGUGACAGUGGGGAUGACGGCAGCUCUAUAUCCUUGUUGUCUCUGCUCAGAUACAGAAAGGAAUGAGUUUUAUGGGUUUUGUGGUUAUGGAGGGUGGGACAAGAUCUUAAAAAAAUACAAACACAUACACAUACACAUACACACACAAACACACACACACACAUACACACACACACACACACACACAUACACACACCACACGUAUGUAUAUGUUAAGGCUGGAAAAAUGGCUCAGCAGUUCAUAGCUUGCUGCUCUUGCUGAGGACCUGGAUUUGAUUCCCAACACUCACAUGGUUGCUUAUAAGGGUCCCUAUCUCCACCUCCCAUAUAUCUGUCACCCUCUCCUGAUCUCCACGGGCUCUAUGCAAACAUGUACCCUUGCAUACACGCAGAUACAACACAUACACAAAAAUAAAACCAAAUCUUUUUACAUUUAAACAUGACAGUUGGACUGGAGAGAUUGCUCAGUGGUUAAGAGCACCCAACUGCUCUUCCAGAGGUCCUGAGUUCAAUCCCAGCAACCACAUGGUGCUCACAACCAUCUGUAAAGUGAUCCGAUGCUCUCUUCUGUGUAUCUGAAGACAGCUACAGUGUACUUAUAUAUAAUAAAUGAAUAAAUCUUCAAAAGAAAAGAAAAAGAAGAAAAAAGAAAAAAAAGAAAAAUUAAACAUGACAGUUGAAUGCCCCUGUUCUUGAAAGACCCUCAGAUUGAGGAGACUCUCGCUCCAAUCCUGAGGACACCUAUCACCCCACAAACAUGCUGGACUCACAUCUUGAUGCAAAAGCAAGAGGUUUACUUUGGGAUACCAAUGCAUUGGGGGCUCAUCACGGUCCUCACUCAAGAGGGAUGUGAAGAGCCUCGAACAACAGAAAUGUACAGCUUAAAUAGUCACACAGCUUCAUUAGCUCAGCUACUCCGGUGCCAAGGAUAUCUGACUAGGCAGAUGUUUCCCAUCCUGGGGUUCCCAGGACAAGGACCAAGGAUAUCUGACUUGGCAGAUGUUUCCCAUCCUGGAGUUCCCAGGACAAGGCUGCAACCAUAUCAAUGCAGCCACUUCAGUACCAAGGACAUCUGACUUGAUAUAUGUUUUCCAGUCCUGGGGUUCCCAGGACAAGGACCAAGGAUAUCUGACUUGGCAGAUGUUUCUCUCCUGGAGUUCCCAGGACGAGGCUAUAACUAUGUCAGCACAGUUAUGUCGGUACCAAGGACACCUAACUUGACAAAUGGUUUUUAUCCUGCAGCACAAUCUACAGUGGUCGGUCAGCUUCCCAGAGAUGUUUCCUGCCUUGUAAUUGCCCUGCAGUAAAUAUGAUCUAUACCAUCUGUUCUUAUGGUUGGGCAGAGAGUGGGUGGGAAUGUGCUUUCUGUACUUUCUGGUCUAUUGUCUAACAUCUAGGGGCUAAGCAAGGGCCUGCUUAAAAAAUUCUCCUUCUUAAGAAAUGGCUGCACUAAUAUCAAACGGGGAUCUUUCAUUUUUUUUUUUAAAAAAACUACUUUGCACUUCUUUACCUGUGAAUGCAAACCACAAACUCAGGCAGUGUCGUAAAUCACAGCACUUGGAAAAUGGAGGAGGAAGGAGGACUGGCAGUUUAAGGCUACACAGUGGGCUCAGAGAUUGCCUAGGCUACAUAAGACCCUGUCCCAAAAACAAACAACAAUGACAACAAAAAAGCACAGAACUCAAGCCAUAGACUUGGCACCUUAAUUUGAUGGUGCUGGAAAGAGCUCCAGGGGGACCUCAUGCUCCACCAGCUACUCCACUCAGCCUCAUCCCCAGCCCAAAAGCAUACUUAGGGUGAGUUUGGGUUUGCUAGUGUGUGUGUGUGUGUGUGUGUGUGUGUGUGUGUGUGUGUGUAUGUGUGUGUGUGUGUAUGUGUACGUGCAUGUGUACUGUGCCUUUGUGAGGGCUAAAGGUCACUUAAUAGAUUGGUAAAACAAAAACACCUCUAACAGGCAAGCCCCGCUUGCCCAAGAACAGACUACUUCCUAGAAUGCUGGGGGUUGUGGUUCGCUAAGAUAACAGCCAUAUAUUUUCACUUCUGUAAACAAGGCUGGUUGCUUGCACUGCUCAGAUUGUACUUGAUCACAGGUAGGUUAUUGUUGCUUAGGCAGGAAGUACGUCAGGAUAUAUGCCUGCCCCCAAUUGGACCAAGGCGGGAAGUAUGUAGCGCUGAGGGUUUUGUCUUUAUCAGCACCUGACUAAUGUGACUUGUGGCCAUUCUCUGGGAGUCCUGGUUAUGGAUCUGACUAAUAUCCAUUGGUCUGGCCAAUAUUUAAUAAAGCUUGCUUCAAAUUUGGCUAAAACAUGUAUGAUUAAGACCUGCUCGAAGAUAAGAAUCAUCACCUCGGAAGAGUUCCCUGUGCUACCACUUCCCAGUCAGGCUUAGUUCCUCCCAGGUACAACUAAUGCUCCAUAUUUUACACAGCAGGACCCAUAAGAGCCCAGAGGCAGCUAGAUGGUUCCGUAGGUAAAUGUAGAAAGUGUUUAAAUCAGGCCUGGGGUUUCCACUCUGCCUUAGACUCUAUAAGUUCCCAGAUGAAAGACACACACGGCCUUUAUAUUUACAAUAGGCCUUAAAACAGCGCAAUUACUGGGCAGCUGCCUACUCUCCAUGCUGUUAGAGUCUACUUUCCUAUUGAUAACCUUGAGUUGUUACAAUGUUUCAACUGGGCUGCUCUUAAAUCCAACUAAACUGCCCUAAUACCGUAUUCUCUUAACUCCUAACCCACAGCGGCUUUUCCUCCUUCCUCCUGCCUUCUUCUUAUAUUUAUUUAUUUAUAUUUGUACUUUAUUGUAUGUGCAUUGGUGUUUUGCCUGCACAUAUAUCUGUGUGAGGGUGUUGGAGCUCCUGAACUAGAGUUACAGACAGUUGUGAGCUGCCAUGUGUGUGCUGGGACUUGAAUCCGGGGGUCCUCUGGCAUAGCAGCCAAUACUGCUAACCACUGAGCCAUCUCUCCAGGCCCUCUCCUGCCUCCCCCUCCUCUCCCUGCUCCUCAUCCUCCUCUUUCUUCUCCUCCUCUUCUUCCUCCUCCUCUCCCUCCUCAUCUUUCCUCUAACCCCAAGCCCUCAAAUCCUAAACCCCAUCUAUGUCUCUUCUGCCCAGCUAUUGGCUGUUGGCAUCUUUACCAUUCAGAAAUAACUUGGGGUCAGGAUCAGUCAGCAUCAUACCCGAAUGUGUGAACUCUUCUCUCUGGGCCAUGGGGGCUCAGUAUUAACAUUAAAAUACAAAUAGCAUUAGGCUGACCACUACAGGUAAUGAUGCUUGCUGCUCAGGCUGAUUAACUGGGGACCUGGGACCGUCAAGAUGGAAACAAAGAACUGACUCCCACUCACUGCCCUGUGCCUACACAUGCCUGCUGUGGCUUGCAUGUUCCCCUCCCCCACCACACACAAAAUAAACAAAUGUGAGAACUGUUUAUUUCCUUCUUUUUUUUUUUUUUUUCGGACCUGGGGACCGAACCCAGGGCCUUGCACUUGCUAGGCAAGCGCUCUACCACUGAGCUAAAUCCCCAACCCCUGAGAACUUUUUAAAGAAUUCAGAAAUGUAAGAGUAUCUGAAUACUCUUGAUAUAAAAGACCGUAGCUGACAAACUCUGAAAGUAAAUCGUGUUUUAUUAAAUAGUAAACCUUUCUGCUUCUUAGGUUGAAAAUCUGGAUUGAGAGAAGUUUCACAGAAUAAACUUGCACAUCCCUUAAGUAUGAAGGCUCUCAAAUACUGUAUUGAGAAAGCUCAAUGUUAGUUCCUUUACUUGACAAAAAAAGAAAAGAAGAGAAAGGAAGAAAGAAAGAAAGAAAGAAAGAAAGAAAGAAAGAAAGAAAGGAAGGAAGGAAGGAAGGAAGGAAGGAAGAAAAAGAAAUCUUGGAGAACUGCUGAGCUCAGUAUAGCUGAAGGAUCCCUGUUUGAUAUUAGUGCAGCCAUUUCUUAAGAACGAAAACCUUUUAAGCUGGCCCUUGCUUAGCCCCUAGAUGUAAGACAAUAGACCAGAAAGUACAGAAAGCCCAUUCCCACCCACUCUCUAGGAAGCUGCCCAACCAUUAGAACAGAUGGUAUAGAUCAUAUUUACUGCAGGGCAAUUAAAAGGCAGGAAACAUCUCCGGGAAACUGACUGACCACUAUAGAUUGUGCCCCAGGAUGAGAAAACCAAUAUCAAGUUAGAUGUCCUUAGUACUGACAUAGCUGUGCUGACAUAGUUAUAGCCUCGUCCUGGGAACUCCAGGAGAGAAACAUCUGCCAAGUCAGAUAUCCUUGGUCUUUGUCCUGGGAACCCCAGGAUGAGAAAACAUAUAUCAAGUCAGAUGUCCUUGGUACUGAAAUAGCUGCAUUGAUAUGGUUACGGCCUUGUCCCAGGAAUUCCAGGACAAGAAACAUCUGCCUAGUUAUCCUUGGCACCAAAAUAGCUGAGCUAAUGAAACUGUGUUUUCUGUUGUUCGAGGCUCUUCACAUCCCUCCUGCGUGAGGACCGUGUGGAACCCCAAUGCAUUGGUAUCCCAAAGUAAACCUCUUGUUUUUACAUCAAGACUGAGUCCCAUGUGUUUGUGGGGUGGUGGGUGUCCUCAGGACUGGAGCGAGAGUCUCCUCUGUCUGAGGGUCUUUCAUUUGGGGGCUCGCCUGGGAUUUACAAACACCCAUCAACACCGAGAUUGCUCUUGGAGGUAAGGUGGCGCCUUUAACUGUUCUGUCUUUUUGUUUAUGUGUCCUAGUUCUCUAAUUACCUGUCACUCAUGGGAGUGUUUGGCCUGGUUCUGUAAGCUGCAUUCUGUAGUAGCUGUUUGAGCACUUGUGAGAGCUCUCAGGCUGCACUCUGUAGCAGCCAUUUGAGCACUCGUGAGAGCACCCAGGCUACAUUCUGUAACAGCAGCUGUUCUGUUUUUCUGUCUGUGCAUCCAGACUCAGUAAGGAAGGAAGUUCUGCAGCAGCUGUUCAGGUGCUCGUAAGAGCGUUUGGACUGAGAUCGGUAACCUGGGGAACGCCCCAGGGUCUGGGGAGGACCAGGGAUGCCUGGUAGCCUCCAGAGUAUGGUUUGUUGGGUGUGAACCUGAUCAGUUGUUUCUGUUACCUGCUGCUUCCUUCGGGCAUCUGCCUUCUAGGAUUUUUUCUCUGUCGCAUUUGUUAAGAAGUAGGAACACCCAGUGUCUUAUGGAUCUUUGUGUCUCUUAUCUGUUUGUACUUGUCCUUGUCCUUGUGUAUUUUGGAACAAUGGGUCAGAAGGUUACUCCCCCAACCCAGUCUCGCCCUAGACCACUGGGGAGAGGUGAGGGCGAGACUAUACAACCUGUUGGUGGAGGUCAAAAAGGGACCAAGGCAGACCAUCUGUGCUUCUGAGUGGCCAACUUUUCAGGUCGAUUGCCCCCCCCCAGGGAUCUUUUAAUAUGGAAAUUAUAAAGACUGUUAAGAAAGUUGUUUUUCAGUCCGGCCACACUGACAUCUUGAUCAGCAGCCCUACAUCCUAGUCUGGGAGGAUUUAACUCAAACACCACCUCCUUGAGUAAAAUCGUGGGCUAGUUGACCCCAAUGACUGCCAGACUCACAGAUUCUGGCAGUCCAAACUUCCAAGGGGGAGCCCUCCCGACCGGCUCCUCCAAAAGUCUAUCCUUAUGCUCAGGAGGAUUUGCUCCUCCUGGAUUCUCCUCCUUAUUCCCCUACCCUCUUGCCUACCCAACUUCCUGAAUCCUCUGCUCCUCCUGGCUGCAGAUGCUUCUGGUCCUGCUCAGGGGACACAGCCAGUGAGCACUCACCCCUGACUCCUCUACUGGCCUGAUUCCUGUUAUUCCCUUGCAGGCUGAUGGACCUCCCCCAGGUCCAGGCGAGGGGAUGCAGCCCCUUCAGUACUGGCCUUUUUCUUCCGCUGAUCUUUGUAACUGGAAACUUAAUCACCCCCCUUUUUAGAGGAAGGGGGACAGGCACAGGCCUGCUAGCAAGGAAGCUGCAGGCUAUGCAUGGGCAGUAGCCUGAGCCAGCGGGAGAGGAGUUUCAAGGAAAAGUGGCCGCUGGCCGUGGCUGAUGCUUUGACAGCAAAAAUAUAGCACAGAGUUAGUGAUUGUAUUAAAGUCUAUCAUGAGUCCUUUGGCCCUGAAAAACAAUUCCAGUCACUGCCACUAUCUCACCUCCAAGUGGAUUUUCAGAGACAAGUGUGGUCGCCAAUCCCGGAUGAGCCCCCAAAUGAAAGAUCCUCAGAGCAGGGAAACCCUCACUCAAAUCUUGGGAUGAUGUAAUCCCCCAAGAACUCACAUAACACCAUCCUUGCUGUAAUCACAUGAGGUUUAUCGAUAGGAACCAGUGCACUGGGGUCCAGACUUGUAUCCCACACAGGGGCAGGGGAGUUUGACCUUGAGUGGCUGAGAGGAAUAUUUAAAGGAAGAAGCCACAACCCAAGGGGGCAGGGAUGGCGUCAUUGGAAAGUGUGGAGAAUACCAGUGAAAAAUCACAAGGAGAAGCUUCCUGUCUCUCAAGAUUGCUUUUAAGACUAUAAUCUAACUUUAUCUAACUAGACUAUCAUCUCACUUUUUCUGGGAGAAGCUAUCUGUUAUCUUUAUUAGUUUGGGAUCACGUAUUUAAGGGCCUUAUCUUUAAGCCCCUUUAUCUUGUUCGUGGGAGAGCAGGCUCAAGAAAUGUGACCUUUUACCUACUUACAGGUAGAGAGCAGGGUCUAGAAUUUGAGAUAUUUAGGGCUUCUUAGGGGUGAGAUAGCAUUUCUAAGCAUCUGACUUCUUGGCUGCAUUUUGUAUUCUUUCAUUCUCUACUUCUUCUAGUGGCUAGCUCUAAUCAUAGAACUAGAUUUUAGUAUAUACCUGAAUGGUCUUUAUAAAAACUACACUUUUCUCUGAGAACAGCACAUACUCUUCCGUCUUUUAAGAAGAAAACAACCCCAGAAUGGUCUAGGUAGAAACAACACUUUUUUUGUAGUGUAGAACACAGACUUCCUUCUUUAAGGAAUAUCAGGUCUAACCUUUUUUUAUUUUGAAGGACUACCUCUGAGAGGGAGGUCAGGGAUUCUUGGAGGUCAGUUAAAAAGUCUUUAGCAUCAGGAUUCUAAUCUGGACACCAUCUGAACCUACACACAAAAGGUCAUGAUUGCCUUUUAGAACUUUUAAACUGUGUCACAGGUUGUGAUCCCUGAGACACAGUCCCAAGAAGUGUUAGGAGUACUAACGUAGGUAAUGCCUUCAUAGUAAGGGGAUGUUACAUCAUUUAUAAUAGAAAUCAAGACUACUCCCACACCUGUGAUUGGGGGAACCUAUCUCAACAGAGCCCAGGGCAAACAUGAAAUUCUUGUUUCUAAAGCACACUCCUCAACUGAGCAUUAUAGUAACCCCACCAGUCAUGUCUCUGACGUGCAGGUCCAGGGAGCUUUUUGAAGAUCUGAGUGUCCCUCUAGGUCCCAGCUCUCAGCCCCAACAGCUAGUAAUCAGCUUGUGAGGGCUGAGACUUGACGGAUGUCAGGGUGGUCAGCAGCACCAGGUACUGUCCUUUCCAGUGAGGCUCGAGUGUCUGGGCCUGAUUGUCAAUGACAGUGCAGGGUAUACCUGGAAGAGAAUGGGGGACAAGAGCCACGAAGAAGGACGCCAAGACAAGAGUCUGAUCAGGGCGACAAUUUUAUUUUUUCCCAAGGCUGAAUUUAUACCAUAACAUGGGUAACAGACGGAGGGGGAAGUGUGAAACAUUUACGCAGGCCAAGGACACAAUAUUCGUGUGGUCAGGGAAUCGACUGAUGUUGACAGGAUGUCAGAAAGGUCACAGGUUUGUCAUAUCUAUUAGUCAGCAGGAUGUUGGGUUUUCAGAAAGGUUACAGGUCAUCACAUUGGGUAUCUAGACAUCAGAUGUAUUUCUCAGCAAGAGAACUUUAUCAUAUUAUUAUUUAUCUUGACCACCAGAUUUGCAUUAGUCUUCUGCAUCUGGCUGGGAAUUUUCCAUGAACCCAGUCAUACUUAACGCUAACCAUAAUAAUAGCAUCAAUAAUGAAGGGCUUCAAGGGCAUCGCUCCCAGCACCUGAUAUUGUCAUACGUGGACAGAGUCUCUGACCUGGAACUGGUGAGAUGUCUCAGGGGUCCCCAGGACAUGGGCUGUUGCCAGCUGUGACCAGAUUUUUUUCUGUAUCACCUGUAGGUCCUUUAGCCUGGCAUACAAAUCAUUAUUACAAUGAUAUGUUGGUUCAAUAACAUCAUCUUACACAGUCAGAGGAGACAAGGCCCCAUAUAAGAUCUCAAAGUGGGUAAGACUGAAUCUGGAAGGGAUAUUUCUUGCUCUGAAGAGAGCAAGAGGGAAGGAGUGCAACCCAGUCUGUGCCAGUCUCCAUGGUCAAUUUGAUCAGGGUCAAGAGUUUUAUUUAUUUACUCUACCAGUCCUGAACUUUGAGGUCUGUAAUGUAAUCUAAUUUCCAAUUGACCUCUAAAUACCUGGCCACACCCUGGCUUACCUUGGCAACAAAAGCAGGGCUUUCCCGUCUGACCCGAUUACCUUGGGCACUCCAAAUCGGGGGAAGAUUAUUUUCCAGUAUCUUCUUGAUGACUACUGAGGCCACCCCUUGAUUGGUGAGGAAAACUUCUAUCUAUUCCUGAAAAGAUAUCUACAAGCACUAGGAGAUACUUGUAACCAUAUUUUCUCAGUGAAGUUUACUUUGACUUCUCACUAAUCUUUUUAGGUCUUUUUGCCCUGUUUGUUUCUUAAGCAUUUACUUGCUGACAUACCUUAUAUUUUUCUACUGGCUCUAAUAUAUAUAUCUUAACUAUUUGGAUAAGCUUUUAUCCCCUAAAUGAGUCCAUUUGUGUAUUUGGAAAGCGAGACUUUUGUUUGUUCUCUGGGGAGUAUAGCUUUUCCCUCAAGUGUGCCAUUGUCCUUUCUCUUUUAAGAAAUUUGGGCCUUUUCUUCUGUUGUACACUCUAAGUGAGGCCAUCCCUUAGUCCAAUCCCAGUUCCCAGUAGCUGUCUCUUGCAGGCCUUUAACCAGUAUAGGUUCCUGCAUAGCCAUUUUUCGAGCCACUUGAUCUGCUUUGUUAUUGCCCCAUGUCACUGAAUCUCUUCCCUCCUGAUGUCCUGGGCAAUGAAUAACGCUCACAGUUGCUGGCUUCAUCAGGGCAUCCAAGAGAUGGCAAAGGCAUCUGUGGCGCUGAUGUGCUGGGGGGUAGAGGUUUGUCUAUCCCAGAUGAUAUUUGUGUUGUCCACCAUGGCAGUCCCCACUCAUCUCUGACCUUCAUGAAGAGAACUGUUCUCGUCUGUAGUCAAGGUAGCCUUGGCUUUCCGUAGGAGUUGAUCGGUCAGUCGUAGAGGUCUUCUCUCCAUCCAUGGGCUUCUGUCAGUGUUUGACACUCAUGCUGUGGUGGCUCCAGGUCAGGAUUGGGCAGCAAGGUGACCAGAUUGCCCCCCAACCAGUGGAGAAUCUAGUCCAUGUCAGCUGACCUGUGGUCCCAUCCUCUGGGACAUUCCAGUCAAAGGCAAAACAUCAGCCUCUCUACCACAGUUUAAGUCCUGGAUUGGGUGAUAAUUGUUAGUGCCCGGCUGCCAGGAGCGGUGUGUUCCAGGCAGAAUGGCACUAAGCCACACAUCUCUCAGCAUAGGGUAUUGGUGCACUGAGACAGGUCUUAAGCGCCACAUACACAGUCUGUAGAUAUGCAUACACAUGGCCUUACCCAGCCACUUCAGCCCACGCAAGCCAUUUUGGAGAGCAAAUUUCUCAUGAGCAAGGGAUAGGGGCAGUCAGGGAUGACCAUGAACUAGUGGGUUACCUGGCCCACACCAAGGUCCACUGUUCUUUGGGUAGUCCAUAAGUAUCGUUUGUUGCCAGUAGCCCCUGUACCCAAGGUCUUUGAUGGACACUGGCCCACUGGGGCAUAGGAGCACAGAGUGUUGGGUCCUUUUAUCCACAAAACACCAAUUGGACUUCCCCUCUGUCCUGGGGCAGUCCCCGACACAGUGACUUUUUUUUUUUAACAAUAGGCACACUGAUCUUUAGCCAGGAAUUCUCUUCUGUUGUCAGGUACUCUCUCCCUAGUCUCCCUAACUAUUGUGGCCAGUAUUCAUUUUUUAUACUGUCUUUUAUCUCUCCUUAGCUCUUUAGCUUCUUUUUCUUUCUGUCCCCUUUCUUCCCUAGCUUUCUGUUCUUUUUGCCUUCUUUCUUUUUUACCCUGAACCGCACUUUAACCUUACUUUCUCUGCAACUUACACUAACUUCCUCAGUGAUUUAGCUUAACCUUUCAAGUUUCUGCAACUUUCUCUUUAUAUCUUUUUCUUACUUUAGCCAAAUUGGUGGGGUGUUUUUUAGCCCCUCAGAGACCCACCAUUGGAGCCUGGUGAAAGACUUGUAGCAUUCCCUACCUUCAGGUGUUUUGGAUCAACAGGCAGGAGUGAGGGCCUUCCAUCCAUGUCUGGAACAUUCUUUUUGGUCUCCUAGUAGGAUUCUGUAUUUCCUCAGUGGUAAAGAGGAUCUGUAACAGCUACUAACAAGCAUCUCAAGUGGGAUGGUGAGAAAACAAGAAGAGAGUCCAGAAAAUAGAGGUCUGCCAAAGAGGACAAAUGGCAUUCAGUCACACAGAAAGACAAUCAAAAUAUUAACAGACAAAAAAAAAAAAAAAACAGAAGUGGGCACAAAAACAAAAAACAAGUGGCCACUGUGAGAUCACCACAAAAUUGAACUGAUUCAGGUGGGAGUAUCUGUGAGCUCACCAAAGACAGAUGAAGAGGAGCAGAUUCCUCAUCAUUCCUCUUUCCCAACGGGACAGAUGAAGGGGAGCAGAUCGAAAAUUAUGGUUAAGUCAAAGGUGCCCUCUGGAGGCCAGCCGACAUCAAACACUGGCCACUCCGAGGAGCAAAAAGUCAGCCAAAGUCCUUUUUUAAUCUUAACUGACAAAUUGUGUGCUAUAGUCCUAACUUUAGUCCAGUGUUCUAAAGUCAAACUCAGAAGAGUCCCAUCGUCAAAGUCACAAGUAACACAAAACAAAGACCUAAGACACACAGACAAAGAUCACUCUGGAAAUACAGAUGGCCAGGAGGCCGGGUCUCUUCUCCAAUCCAGGAGAAUCACCGAAUCCUCACCAGCACCCAGACGGGAAUCUCCCAGGUGUCCCCCUAGGGUCCCUCCUCACCACCUGAGAUGUCUCCCAGGGCAGCGCUGUCAGUGAGCCCCUGGCACGUCUACCAAUACUCACAUUCUCUAGUCUCCUCCCAAGACGAGAGUCUCCAUCUGUACCGGAGAUGGAACAACUGUAAAAACAGUACUUGAGAGUAACUUCAGACCCAGAGUUCAGUCGGCACAGAUUCACAAAGACACAACACAAAGACACAGACCCUAUCUCAACUCCAAGUGGAUUUUCAGAGACAAGUGUGGUCGCCAAUCCCGGAUGAGCCCCCAAAUGAAAGAUCCUCAGAGCAGGGAGACCCUCACUCAAGUCUUGGGAUGAUGCGAUCCCCCAAGAACUCACAUAACACCAUCCUUGCUGUAAUCACAUGAGGUUUAUCGAUAGGAACCAGUGCACUGGGGUCCAGACUUGUAUCCCACACAGGGGCAGAGGAGUUUGACCUUGAGUGGCUGAGAGGAAUAUUUAAAGGAAGAAGCCACAACCCAAGGGGGCAGGGAUGGCGUCAUUGGAAAGUGUCGAGAAUACCAGUGAAAAAUCACAAGGAGAAGCUUCCUGUCUCUCAAGAUUGCUUUUAAGACUAUAAUCUAACUUUAUGGUCAGCUAGUUUCUGGGAGAAGCUAUCUGUUAUCUUUAUGAGUUCGGGAUCACGUAUUUAAGGGUCUUAUCUUUAAGCCCUUUUAUCAAGUUCGUGGGAGAGCAGGCUCAAGAAAUGUGACCUUUUACCUACUUACAGGUAGAGAGCAGGGUCUGGAAUUUGAGAUAUUUAGGGCUUCUUCGGGGUGAGAUAGCAUUUCUAAACAUCUUACUUCUUGGCUGCACUUUUUAUUCUUUCACUCUUGCAGAGCACCCAUAAAGCCUUGAGUUUGAUCCCAGCCCGUCUCCCACCACACAGGACAUAAUAUCUAGAUGAGAUCAAAUCAUUUGUUUGUUUGAGAUACCGUCUCCUGAGGCACAGGAUGACCUCCAGAGUUUGCUAUAAAAGAUGGCCUUAAACUUUUUUUUUUUUUGAGACAAGGUCCCUUAUAACCCAGAUUGGUCUCAAACUGGAAAUAUAACUGAUGACCUUGGACUCCUGAUUCUCCUCUCUCUACCCCUCAAAUGCUGGGCUUAUGUGUCUAAUACCCAGCUUCAAAAUAGUUGUUUAUGAAAAAGAACAAGUGUGUAUCCUUCACACCACAAUGGUUUCUUGACUCACUAUACAAGUAAUCAAGUGUGUACCUUGUGUGACACAAGUGCAAUCAGGCAGCAGGAUAGCUGAUCAUGGAGCAGGAUGGCCGAGCACACAGCCGAACAGGACAUUACCAGGGAAUACUCCUGCGACCAAUGCCCAACAAGGCAGCAAUGUGGAAACAGAAAAAAAUACUAGUAGCUUAGACCAGUCUUGAACUCACUACAUAGCCCAGGUUGGGCUCUCACUUGUGAUUCUCCUGCUUCAGCUUCCAGAGUGCUAGGAUUAUAGACAUGAGCUAUCAUACCUAGCAAAUUCUAAAAAACAUCGGUAUUGGGGGUGAGGAGGGGAGAUAGAAAAAGGAACAAAGCAUGUAUAGUGGCCUCCAUAUAUUAAAACCAAAAUAAAAACAUAGAUGUGAUUUCUAGAUUCCUAUAUAAACUAAAACUCUAAAGCUUUUAGAAAAGGAUUGUAAGAGGCUCCGUGUCUCCCAGGCACAGCCUUCUUAGUAUCCCAUGAUACCAAGCAUUCACAGAAAAGACUUCCUCAAAAUUCAAAGCUUUGGACUGUGAAUGUAGCUUAUCCAGCAUAUAAGGGGGUGCUGGUAUACUUCCAGUACAUAAAAAGUUUAAAAAAAAACUGUGUGUUUUUAUUUUCUAAAACAGCUAAAAACAGAGGAUGUCCAUGCUUAGUAUCACCAGGACCAGGUAACAACUGAUCGUUAACUGAGACCAUGCACUGCUCACCCACUGGGGAACUGACUCUGUAGUUUCUCAUCGACAAACCUCCUAUGGCCUAGAAAUUCUCUCCCUAGGUAUUACUCAAAGUAAUACCAGCUUACAUGAUCGCUCACUUGACAGAGUACUUGCUUAGGGAGCACGAAGUCCUGGGUUUUGAUUGCCUAAAUUACAUAAAACCCUCAGCACUCAUCCGGCAGAGACAUGAGGAUCAGGAGUUCAAAGUUAUCCUUAGUUUAUUGAGAGUUCAAGGCCAGUCUGGACUAUAGGAGGAUCUGGUUCAAAACAAAACAAAAACAACAACAAAAACCCUAGGUCCACACAGGAUAUAUACAAGAAACAGAAAUUUGUGAGGUACAUAGUUUUAAUCACAAGCUCACCGAGGCAGAGGCGGGUGGACCUCUGUGAGUUCAAAUUCUAGUCAUCUACAGAGAGAGUUGUAGGAUCAUCGGCGAUACAGAGUGAAACCCUGUCCUAAAAGAACAAAGGAGGAGGAAGAGGAGGACGAGGAGUGCCCCUGCCUUCGGGGGUUCAGAGUGGACCUGGGAGUGGUGAAAGAAUGGGGAACAGGAGGAGCAAAGAAGGAGAGCAAGUCUGGGUUCUGAUCAAGCUCUCAAAGUUUAUUUCAAAAAAACCCAGUGACUUAUAAAGACAAGAAGGUGGGAAGGUUACUCAGGAGAAUCCAUCACUGCCACCACCCUUCCUAUAGCCCUAAACCAUAAAUUGCAGUUAUAGACUGAUAAGAACAGACAACCGGCUAACUGUCCCAAGGCUGGAGACUGUAACUAACUUAAUUUUCCUGAGAAGAUAGGAAUAUACUGAGCAGAGCAUUCCUGAGAAGAAUCACUAAGCCUGAGCGUGCUUGGUUCCAGGCAGGGAGGAAGGCAGGCAAGAAGGCAGGCAGGCAGGAAGGGAAGGAACAAAAUGAGGAGGGACUUGUAGUUACUAGACCAGGGUUCCGAGGUUAGCCCAAAGCAUAUAGUAAAUGGUAUUUCAGGGUUGUUCAUUUUUUUGAGACAAGGCAUUAUGUAAGUCAGGCUGGUUUCAAACCUUUAGUCCUCCUGCCUCAGCCUUCCAAGUACUGGGAUUAUAGGUGUGCAUCACCAAACCUGGCUGCAAUAAGGUUUUAAUCAAAGAUUGAUUUAAAGAAAACUAAUAUUAUUCUGGUGGUGUUUAGAGAGGGAGAAAUUGAGGAAUAUGAUACAUGACUGUCAAGCCGCUGGAGCUACGAGGGCUUAGAACACAAGUCAUAGUGGUGCAAUUGCCUAGCAAGCACAUAUGAGGCCCUGAGUUCGAUUCCCAGCAACACAUACAUACACACAAGAACAUACAUGAAGACCACACACACACACACAGACACAGACACACACACACACACACGCACAUACCACCACCGCUGCCACAGCCACUGCCUCCACCGUCGCCAUCAUCACCAUCACCACCACCGCCGCCGCCGCCAUCUGUGUAUUUAGCAUGAAGGAUGGAACCCAGGGCUUCAUACAUGACGGGCAAGCACUCUACUCACUGACCUCUGACCCCAGCUGUAAAACACCUGCAAACUGUUCACUCCCGUGAACCGGGCGGGCACGCUCCCCAGUGGGGAAAAGUUUCCUGAGCCUCUUCUUCCCAAGCAAGGAGACUCUCAUCUCUGCUGGGAGGAACAAUAGCAGAUGGCAGAUGCCAGGGUGUGUACACCGAGGUCAUGCCCACCCUGCUUGAAGUCCUCACCUAACAGCUCCCUUCAUGUCACCAGCCUAUACUGCUAAUGGUCUUCUGUUUGUCCUUCUGUCCUGUCCCUCCUUCCUUUUACCCAGUUUCAUGGGACAGAGUCCCCCCCCCCCCACACCCCGUGUGCUGUGUAGUUGUCCCCAGGAAAGGAGCCAUUGUUGAUUGGAUGCCAGGUUGCAUUCUGAGGAGCUCUUGGCACAGGAAAAAAAAUUCAUUUGAAAAUUUCACAUUUCGAUUGAAGUUCCAAGCAUCCCCAUAGUGUUCAGUAAUUGACAAAGCUAAGAAUCAGAGAACCCCCAGGCAGCUGUUGAGUGGACGAACCAGAAGAUAAAUGGAACAGCCUGAUGCAUCAGUCCAUGGAUGCCCUCCCUGGCCAUCACCACCUCGUAGCUACAGAGAUGUCUAGAGGUUGUCCCACUGUUCCUCCAGAGCUCAUUAAUCUGCUGUUGGCUGCGUUAUCUUGACUGUGCAAAUUUGCCUUGCAAACCAGACACACAUGGGGAACUCAGCUUCUGUGUGCCCCCAUAUCCCAAUAAGAGAUCUUGUCACAAAAAACAAAAUGGAUGUCUCAUAAGAAAGAACACCUGAGGGGUUGGGGAUUUAGCUCAGUGGUAGAGCGCUUGCCUAGGAAGCGCAAGGCCCUGGGUUCGGUCCCCAGCUCCGAAAAAAAGAACCAAAAAAAAAAAAAAAGAAAAAAGAAAGAACACCUGAGGUUGACUUCCGCAUGCUCACACAUGUAUACCUGAACACACAUGAAAAUGCACAUAUACUCACAUAUAACAUAGAGAAAAAACCAUUCAAGGGAAGUAACCAGACGUAGUGGCACAUAGCUAAGGUCUCAGCAUCUGGUUCCUACGUCAAACCACCCUUGCUUUCCAGGGACAAAUACUAUCUGGGAUUGGCAAGCCAUCUUUUAAUAUGCUAAACUUAGUUGACAUCUUGUUGAGGAUUCAUCAUCAUCAUCGUUGCCAUCAUCACCACCACCACCACCAUCACCAUCACCACCACCACCACCAACACCACCAUCACCACCACCACCACCACCACUACCACCACCACCACAACCAACACCACCAUCACCACCACCACCACCACCACUACCACCACCACCUCCAACAACACCAACAACAACACCAACAACAAAAACACCAUCACCACCACAACUACCUCCACCACCACCACCACCACCAACACCACCAUCACCACCACCACUACCACUGUCAUGUGGGUGUUGAGAGUUGGAAGAGCAGCCUCUGCUCUUGAGACACCCUCCAGCCUCUCUGUGCAAGUGUAUGGUUCCACAGAGGCCAGAAAAGGACGGCAGGUGUCCCCCCCAGCCCUCUGUACCUAUUCCUCUGAGUCGAGGUCUCUUGAACACAGGGCACAUGUUUUCUCAGCUAGACUAAAAGCCAAUAAGCUCCAGUCACCGAUCAACUUUCCCUCGGACUGAGGCUAUAAGAUUUGUGUGACUCUUGGCAUGUUACGUGGGCACUGGAAUCCAAUCUGUGGUUCUUCAUGGCUGCACAGGAAGAGCUCUUGGUGGCUGAGCCACCUUCUCAGCCUCAGCACCAUCUUUUUAUGUCAAGUAACUGAGCAGUAAGAUCUCGGGCUGCUUCUGCUCCUUCUCCUCCUCCUCUCCCCCCCUCCUCCUCCUCCUUUUGAUUUAUUUAUUCAUUUAUUUCAUGUAUAUGAGUACACACUGUAGCCGUCUGCAGACACACCCAGAAAGGGCAUCAGAUCCCAUUACAGAUGGCUGUGAGCCACCAUGUGGUUGCUCGGAACUGAACUCAUGACCUCUGGAAGAGCUAUCAGUGCUCUUAACUGCUGAGCCAUCUCUCCAGCCCAAUCUCUGGCUUCUGAUAAGGAAUUAGGGUCAGAUGUAAGCCAUCAUCUGGGUAUCCCACAAUUGCUCCACCUCUUUACCUGCCUUCCUAGCUGAACAGCUGGAGUCCUACUUCACAGCAUUGUUGGGAGCGUUACAGUAAGGAGAGAUGUUCAGAGUAGAAGCCGUACAAAUGGUUCCUUUUCUCUUGUAUGCUCUGCUUCUGCCAACCUCCAAAGCAGCUCUCUGUACCUGUGAAUUAGCAAUGGAGAGGCUUCCAGGAUCAGAGACCAAUUCUGCUCUGCCUCCUUCAGAUGAAAGGCACCUUAGCUCAUAGGAGACCAAAUGGGUCUUCCUUACAAACUUUGUCACUCCUGGGGUCAUCACUGUCUUCCUGGGCCACAGACCUUUCUCCUCGUGUUUAGAGAUACUUUAAAAGACAACUGUGCAUAUGUGCACACAUAUGAAUGUAGGUGCCUAUAGAGGCCAGCUGGGAUUACCAACAUGGGCGCUGUGGUGGUUUGAAUAUGCUUGGCCCAGAGAAUGGCACUCUUAGGAGGUGUGGCCUUGUUGGAACUGUGUAACUUGAUGAUAAUGGAUUGAACCUCUGAACCUGUAAGCCAGCCUCAAAUCAAUAUUGUCUCUUAUAAGAGUUGCCUUGGUCACAGUGUUUCUUCAAAGCAAUGAAACCCUAAGACAGGCACUGAGAACUGAACUCUGGUCCUCUGCAAAAGCAGGAAAUGCUCUUAACCACUGAGCCAUCUUUCCAGCCUCGAGAGACACUGAAGUGGUAUGCACUGCCUGCCAUGGCCAACAUGCUCCUGGAGGUGUGUGGCCUCGAGUUCCCAACCUACCUCUUCAAUGAUUGGUAGUACAUGGGCACCGAGAAUGGAGUCCUGGACUUCUGUGACACACAGCGCUACAAUAUCCUGGAGGUGACAUGGAGUUACCAAGCUGGAGAGUCGGGGAGGGGCACCCCCUCCAAAACCUGCCUCACCUCAUCUUCUACAGGAAGUGGGCAGGAGGAUGGGCCUGGAGACCCACACACUGGCCUCCCUCUGGAAAGACCGGGCUGUCACCGAGAUCAAUGCAGCUGUGCUCCAUAGUUUCCAGAAGCAGAAUGUGACCAUCAUGGACCACCACACAGCCUCAGAGUCCUUCAUGAAGCACAUGCAGAAUGAGUACCGGGCCCGAGGAGGCUGCCCUGCAGACUGGAUUUGGCUGGUCCCUCCGGUGUCCGGGAGCAUCACCCCUGUGUUCCACCAGGAGAUGUUGAACUACGUCCUAUCUCUAUUCUACUAUUACCAGAUCGAGCCCUGGAAGACCCACAUCUGGCAGGAUGAGAAGCUGAGGCCCAGGAGGAGAGAGAUCCGGUUCACAGUCUUGGUGAAAGUGGUGUUCUUUGCUUCUGUGCUAAUGCGGAAGGUCAUGGCUUCCCCCGUCAGAGCCACAGUCCUCUUUGCUACUGAGACAGGAAAGUCGGAAGCGCUAGCCAGGGACCUGGCUGCCUUGUUCAGCUACGCCUUCAACACCAAGGUUGUCUGCAUGGAACAGUAUAAGGCAAACACCUUGGAAGAGGAACAACUACUGCUGGUGGUGACAAGCACAUUUGACAAUGGAGACUGCCCCAGCAAUGGGCAGACUAUGAAGAAAUCUCUGUUCAUGAUGAAAGAACUCGGGCACACCUUCAGGUAUGCGGUAUUUGGCCUGGGCUCCAGCAUGUACCCUCAGUUCUGUGCCUUUGCUCAUGACAUCGACCAGAAACUGUCUCACCUGGGAGCCUCCCAGCUUGCCCCAACCGGAGAAGGGGACGAACUCAGCGGGCAGGAGGACGCCUUCCGCAGCUGGGCUGUGCAAACCUUCCGGGCAGCCUGUGAGACGUUCGAUGUUCAAAGCAAACAUUGCAUUCAGAUCCCGAAACGCUACAUUUCCAACGCAACAUGGGAGCCAGAGCAGUACAAGCUCACCCAGAGCCCAGAGCCUCAAGACCUCAACAAAGCUCUCAGCAGCAUCCAUGUCAAGAACGUGUUCACCAUGAGGCUGAAAUCCCUCCAGAAUCUGCAGAGUGAGAAGUCCAGCCGCACCACCCUCCUCAUUCAACUCACCUUCGAGGGCAGCCGAGGCCCCAGCUACCUACCUGGGGAAGACCUGGGGAUUUUCCCAGGCCCUGGUGCAAGGGAUCUUGGAGCGAGUUGUGGAUUGUUUUUCGCCAGACCAAACUGUGUGCCUGGAGGUUCUAGAUGAGAGUGGCAGGUACUGGGUCAAAGACAAGACGCUUCCCCCCUGCUCACUCAGGCAAGCCCUCACCUACUUCCUGGACAUCACUACCCCUCCCACCCAGCUGCAGCUCCACAAGUUGGCCCAGUUUGCCACGGAAGAGACGCACAGGCAGAGGUUGGAGGCCUUGUGUCAGCCCUCAGAGUACAACGAUUGGAAGUUCAGCAACAACCCCACGUUCCUGGAGGUGUUGGAAGGGUUCCCAUCGUUGCGUGUGCCUGCUGCCUUCCUACUGUUGCUCCCCGUUCUGAAGCCCCGCUACUACUCCAUCAGCUCCUCCCAGGACCACACCCCCUCGGAGGUCCACCUCACUGUGGUCACCUAUCGCACCCGAGAUGGUCAGGGUCCUCUGCACCAUGGCGUCUGCAGCACUUGGAUCAAUAACCUGAAGCCUGAAGACCCAGUGCCCUGCUUUGUGCUGAGUGUCAGUGGCUUCCAGCUCCCUGAGGACCCCUCCCAGCCGUGCAUCCUCAUUGGGCCUGGCACAGGCAUUGCCCCCUUCCGAAGUUUCUGGCAGCAGCGGCUCCAUGACUCUCAGCACAGAGGGCUCAAAGGAGGCCGCAUGACCUUGGUGUUUGGGUGCAGGCACCCAGAGGAGGACCACCUCUAUCAGGAAGAAAUGCAGGAGAUGGUCCUCAAGGGAGUGUUGUUCCAGGUGCACACAGGCUACUCCCGGCUGCCCGGAAAACCCAAGGUCUACGUUCAAGACAUCCUGCAGAAAGAGCUGGCCAAUGUGUUCAGCGUGCUCCACGGGGAGCAGGGCCACCUCUAUGUUUGUGGCGAUGUGCGCAUGGCUCGGGAUGUGGCUACCACUUUGAAGAAGCUGGUGGCCGCCAAGCUGAACUUGAGUGAGGAGCAGGUUGAGGAUUACUUCUUCCAGCUCAAGAGCCAGAAACGUUAUCAUGAGGAUAUCUUCGGUGCAGUCUUUUCCUAUGGAGUGAAAAAGGGCAACACCUUGGAGGAGCCCAAAGGCACAAGACUCUGACACCCAGGAGAGUUACAGCAUCUGGCCCUAAAUAAAAUGACAGUGAGGGGUUUGGAGACACAGAAGUGCGAUUCCCCCCCAAACCCCUCACAUCAUCUCCCCUCCUCUACCCUACCAAGUAGUAUUGUACUAUUGUGGACUACUGAAUCUCUCUCCUCUCCCCCGUCCCCUAUUCUCCCUUCCCUCCCGUUUUCUCUACCCCUCCCCCACCUUCUCCUUCCUUUGCCUCAUACUUCCUCAGAGCUGAGAGCAGAGGAAAAUGAACCACCCGACUGAAGCACUUUGGGUGACCACCAGGAGGCGCCAUCCCGCUGCUCUAAUAUUUAGCUGCAUUGUGUACAGAUAUUUAUACUUUGUAUUUAAGAAAACAGAUACCUUCGUCCACUCCCAACGACCGCUUGGCCCUUCCGUGUAUAAUUCCUUGAUGAAGAUAUUUAUAUAAAAUGCAUUUUAUUUUAAUAAAAUGAGUGUUUGAUCAAGUUUUGUAGCGAAAGCAUUCUUGAGUCCUCUAUGGGCUGGGGUUGGUGGGUGCCACAGUCUGGACAGCGAUGCUCCCACGAGGGAGCAUGCUCACCAGGUCCCCAGGGGACAGCAGAUGAGGUUUGCGUUUGUCUGAAGCCAUGUAGUCAUGCAAAGUGACCCAGAUCAGAAGCCGGAGCUGGUGCUUCACACUCAAGGCACCUUCUGCAGGCUGUGGUCAGACCUGGGCUUCUUCGUGAGAGCCAGGGUUGCCUGAAGACCUCGCCCCUCACCCUAGCUUAUGAAGUGAUGUGCUUGGGCGCUGAGGAUGCAGCUCAGUUGGCAGUGUUUGCCUAGCGUACUCAAAGCCCUGAUUUGGAUCCCACGCACUGCGUAACCAUAGGCAACAGUGGCACUCGCUUGGAGUGGCCAGCACUUAGGAGGUGGAGGCAGGAGGAUUUAAAGUCUAAGAUCAUAGACCUCAAUACAGCUACAUAAUGACUUUGAGACCAUCUGAAAAAGAGAGAAAGUGUUGGCUGUGUCCCAUGACCUGUUUGAUGAGAGUUUAGCCAGUCAUGAUCUGGUACCUUGGUAGGACAGGUUUAGUUCUCUGCACUGACACCUUGCUGUGGUGGGCACCACCAUCCUCACCUGCUGUGGAGGUCAUCAGCUCCUGUUUGCACCAGCCAGCACAGCUCCGUACCAGACAGCCCCAUCGCUGGUCUCUGCCCUGCGCCAGCAUAAGCUAGUUCUCUCUUCCCAGCUGCAACAGAUGGGGCAGAAGAGGCAGGACCAAGGGGCCUAACAGCCUCUCAUUGCCCAUGGAAACCCCCUGCCCCUGGCAGUAAUGCAUCAACAGUGUGACCUGUCCAGUCACUUGGGUCAGGGUUUCCCAUGUGCUUAGGUACCCAGAGUCACCUGGGCAAUCUUAUUAAAAUGUAGACUGGAGCCGGGGUGGGGGAUGGCUCAGUUGGUGAAGUAUCUGUUAUGUGUUUGGUUCCCAGCACCCACACUAACAAAGCUAGUUGUGGGGUGUGUGUGUGUGUGUGUGUGUGUGUGUGUGUGUGUGUGUGUGUGUGAUCCCAGGGCUGGGAAGGUAAAGACAGGCAGACCCCUGGAGCUCACUGGCCACAAGCCAUGUCAAUCAGUGAGAGCUGGGUUCAAUGAGAGUCCCUGUCUCAAAAGAUAAGGUUGACAGAGAUAAUGGAAGACCCUCAUCAGGGGUUGGGGGGAUGGGAUAGCGGGGUUUCUAGAGGGGAAUCUGGGAAAGGGGAUAACAUUUGAAAUGUAAAUUAAAAAAUAAGACAACAAACAAACAAACAAACAAACAAAAAAGGAAGACACUCAGGCUGGGUGGUGGUGGCACACACCAUUAACCCCAGCAUUCUGGAGGCAGAAACAGGCAGAUCGCAGAGUUUCUGGCCAGCUUGAUCUACAGUGUGAGUUCUAGGGCAGCGGGGUCUACAGAGAGAAACCCUGUCUCGAAAAAAAUAAAGAUUCUUCUUCUCCAUCUCUUCUCUCUGCCCUUUCUCCCCCCAACCUCUCCAUGGCAACUCCCCUGGCCUCAAUCUUUGGGGCCAGUGAACUUGCCUGAGAGCAGCUUCCCAAUAAACCUGCCUUCAAUAAAAUCUAAGAGAGAGAGAGAGAGAGAGAGAGAGAGAGAGAAUUGGCCUAUGACUACACAACUUCACACACAUAUACCCAUACAUACACACCACACAUACAUACAAACUACACACAUACAUACUACACACAUAAUUCCACAUACACAUACAUACCACACAUACGAAGACACCACACCCUCAAAUACAUACACUAUACAUAUACCCAUAUAUACAUAUCAUACAUUCAUACAUACCACAUAGACACACACAAACACCACAUACAUAUAUAUACAUACCCACAUACAUACACAUCAUGUAUACAUACAUACAUAUCACACACACACCAUACAUAAACAUACCACACAAACAUCUCUCCUUCACUUACACACACACACACACACACACACACACACCAUACAUAAACACACCACACAAACAUCUCUCUCUCUCUUUCUCUCUCUCUCUCUCUCUUUUACACACACACACACACACACCAGACAUACACAGCCUCUGGCUUAGUAGGUCUGGAAGGACCCACUGCUGCUUUUUCUUUCACUUGUGUUUUGUGUUUUGUGAGACAAGGUCAUACUGUGUAACCCAGGCUGGUCUUGAACUUGCCAUGCUCCUGCCUCAGCCUGCCAGGUGAACGACUGCAUUUCUGACAAGCUCCCAGGUGUUGCUGAUGAUCUGAGGCCCCCACCCUGGUUCCUGAGGGAUGGGAACCUCAAUGAGUAACAGCAUUCAGGGGUUCCUCAUAUGUCAGGUCUUCAUCCCAAUCUCCUCUGCUGGGGAGCCCGCAGCAGGCCAGCUCCUCCUUACCCCAUUACCUCACCUCCCACCCAGCACAAGUUGCCAAGGCUCCCACCACCUCUGCCCAGCACCAUCUCCACCUCAGGAGCAUGGGUUGGUCCCUGGUUUACACCGAGGAUGGCAUUCUUGUCAGAGACCCUGGGCCCCAGCCUGCACCCAGUUAUAACAGGACCUUGUGGGGUUUGGGAGGAGGGACCCCUGUAAGCAGGUGUGGGCAGACUUGUCUCCGCCCAUUCCCUUUGGUAGGUUCCAGAAUGUCUCCAGACCCAUUCAGUAACCCAGCCAUCUCAUGUGUGUGUAGACAAGCGUUGAUAUUCUUUAUUUUAUGGGCAUUGGGAAAGAUUGGGGAAAAGGUAAUGUGGACAUUCUGGGUCAGCUGGAGGCCAAUGGGAUGACAUCAAGGUGGCCCUCCUGGAGGGGUGAAGGGAAAGGUCAGAGAAAGGGGCAAACCCAGGGAGGUCACUUCCCUCAGAAGAUGACUAGCUUGGGAGCAAUGGCUGACACUGUGGGCUCACAGCCAUGUGUCCCAUAGCCCAGGACUCCCCCUUUGUGGAGGGUGUGAAUUGGGAAUGCCACCUUCC